GAGGGUAUAGCUCAAGUGGCAGAGCACAUGCUUAGCAUGCAUGAAGUCCUGAGUUUAAUCCCCAGUAUCUCCA
Camelus ferus (Wild Bactrian camel) is the source of this 73-nucleotide transfer RNA. It matches the Rfam family "tRNA". From Rfam's summary of the family: Transfer RNA (tRNA) molecules are approximately 80 nucleotides in length. The record is from Rfam. NCBI's taxonomy places the organism in Eukaryota, Metazoa, Chordata, Mammalia, Artiodactyla, Camelidae.